UCAUCGAUGAUCUCUUCUUCCUCAGAUUUUGACGACGAUCGCUCCUUCUCACAUCUCUUCUUCCUCCUCCGACGAUCUCUUUUUCCCCCAACGACGAUCUCUUCUUCUCUAUUCUGGGUAAGAGGAGAUUUUAACCCAUCUUUUAGCUUCAUCUCUGAUACGAUCUGCUACUGAUACUAUGGAUCUCCCAUCACUUGAAACACUUGCUGCUAUGGAUGCUGAGAAUGAGAACAUAGAGGUGCAGAUGGAAGGUGAAGAAGAAUCUCAUGAGCAAACACUAAGUGGCACUCAGCCAUUUCAACCGACAAACUGCAGCAGCAGAUGUCUACAAGAGAUAUGAGAUAGAAAAAGCUAAGGUGAUAGAGGUUUUGGUGAAUCACAAGGGUCGAGUGUGUUUUACAGCAGAUUUGUGGACAGCCCGAAGUGUUGUGAUGGGAUGUAAGUUCUUCAAAUUUUUCUCAUUAUUUGUCAUUCAAAAACAACAGCAAGUAACUUACUGGUUUGUGUCUUUGUAUAUAACAUGAUCUCUUUGAGUUUGAAAAUAGCCUCAAAUCUAGUUCAAGAAAUGCUAAGUCAAAUCUGGAAACCUAUUUGGAUGUUGAACCAAGACUAGAGAUGAAGACUUUUGAAGACAUGGAAGUUUUAAAUUUUUGGAAAGAAAAUCAGCAUCGAUAUGGUGAUCUUGCUUCAAUGGCAUCUGAUUUACUGAGCAUACAUAUCACCACUGUUGCAGCUGAGUCAGCUUUCAGUGUUGGAGGAAGAUUUUUGAGUCCUUUCAGAAAUUGAAUUCUUUCCAAAAAUGUGCAAGCGCUAAUUGCCACUCGAAAUUGGUUAUAAGACGAUUUGCAGAGUUUGAAGAUUACUUCGAUGAUGAAGAUAAUGAAUCUGCAAAAAGUAGCUCAGAAGUUAGAGACUCUAGCACAUGAAGGUAAAGCUUUCAUUUGUUUAUAAGAUCAAUAAAGUCAAGAAUGAGCAGGAAUAAACUGUAACGCCCACAUCCGUCCACGGUUAAUGGGCCACCCACACCCGCUCAAUCAGCCCGUGGGGCCCAUCCCAUCCGACGGGGAGUGCAUUAAUUUUCCAAGGCUCGAAAUCAUUGUUUACUGACCCUGCAAUCACCACAUGACUUUUCCUCGUGCUUUGGCCUCAC
This is a long non-coding RNA of Brassica oleracea var. oleracea, 1150 nucleotides long. RefSeq lists it as uncharacterized. Lineage: Eukaryota; Viridiplantae; Streptophyta; Magnoliopsida; Brassicales; Brassicaceae. The record is from RefSeq and is a predicted model, not a curated record. The transcript is spliced from 6 exons.